RNAcentral lists this transfer RNA (93 nucleotides) under Candidatus Pelagibacter sp. RNAcentral describes it as "tRNA-Ser". It matches the Rfam family "tRNA". From Rfam's summary of the family: Transfer RNA (tRNA) molecules are approximately 80 nucleotides in length. Their secondary structure includes four short double-helical elements and three loops (D, anti-codon, and T loops). Further hydrogen bonds mediate the characteristic L-shaped molecular structure. tRNAs have two regions of fundamental functional importance: the anti-codon, which is responsible for specific mRNA codon recognition, and the 3' end, to which the tRNAs corresponding amino acid is attached (by aminoacyl-tRNA synthetases). tRNAs cope with the degeneracy of the genetic code in two manners: having more than one tRNA (with a specific anti-codon) for a particular amino acid; and 'wobble' base-pairing, i.e. permitting non-standard base-pairing at the 3rd anti-codon position. RNAcentral also lists the same sequence under 1 other name. The record is from RNAcentral. Lineage: Bacteria; Pseudomonadati; Pseudomonadota; Alphaproteobacteria; Candidatus Pelagibacterales; Candidatus Pelagibacteraceae.
GGAAAGGUGGGUGAGCUGGUUUAAACCAACGGGUUGCUAACUCGUCGUGCGUCGAAAGAUGUACCGAGGGUUCGAAUCCCUCCCUUUCCGCCA